GACAGCGGGGAAAGGUGUCAGAUAAAGGAGGGCUCUCCUUCGGUUUGGAGGCAUCAUGGCUGCUAAGUCAGACGGGAGGCUGAAAAUGAAGAAGAGCAGCGACGUGGCGUUCACCCCGCUGCAGAACUCGGACCACUCGGGCUCGGUGCAAGGAUUGGCUCCGGGUUUGCCGUCGGGGUCGGGAGCCGAGGAUGAGGAGGCGGCCGGGGGCGGCUGCUGCCCGGACGGCGGCGGCUGCUCGCGCUGCUGCUGCUGCUGCGCCGGGAGCGGCGGCUCGGGCGGCGGCUCCGGGGUCUUGGGCGGCCCGGGCGGCGGCGUUGGCGGCCCGGGCGGCCCCGGGGCGGGCUCCGCGGCGCUGUGCCUGCGCCUGGGCAGGGAGCAGCGGCGCUACUCUCUGUGGGACUGCCUCUGGAUCCUGGCCGCCGUGGCCGUGUACUUCGCGGACGUGGGCACGGACAUCUGGCUCGCCGUGGACUACUACUUGCGCGGCCAGCGCUGGUGGUUCGGACUCACGCUCUUCUUCGUGGUGCUCGGCUCGCUCUCGGUGCAAGUGUUCAGCUUCCGCUGGUUUGUGCACGAUUUCAGCACCGAGGACAGCGCCACGACCUCAGCCGCCUCCAGCUGCCCGCAGCCUGGAGCCGAUUGCAAGACGGUGGCCAGCAGUGGGUCUGCAGCCGCUGAAGGCGAGGCUCGUCCUUCCACGCCGCAAAGGCAAGCAUCCAACGCCAGUAAGAGCAACAUCGUCGCCACCAACAGCGGCAGCAACAGUAGCGGGGCCACCCGGGCCAGCGGCAAACAUAGGUCUGCGUCCUGCUCCUUCUGCAUCUGGCUCCUGCAGUCACUCAUCCACAUCUUGCAGCUCGGGCAAAUCUGGAGAUAUUUCCACACAAUAUACUUAGGUAUUCGAAGUCGACAGAGUGGGGAGAAUGACAGAUGGAGGUUUUACUGGAAAAUGGUGUAUGAGUAUGCAGAUGUGAGUAUGCUGCAUUUGCUAGCCACCUUUCUGGAAAGUGCUCCACAGCUGGUCCUGCAGCUCUGCAUUAUCGUACAGACUCAUAGCUUACAGGCCCUCCAAGGUUUCACAGCGGCAGCCUCCCUCGUGUCUUUGGCUUGGGCCUUGGCCUCCUACCAGAAGGCCCUCCGGGACUCUCGAGAUGACAAGAAGCCCAUCAGCUACAUGGCCGUUGUCAUCCAGUUCUGCUGGCACUUCUUUACCAUUGCCGCCAGAGUCAUCACCUUCGCCCUCUUUGCCUCAGUUUUCCAGCUGUACUUUGGGAUCUUCAUCGUCCUCCACUGGUGCAUCAUGACCUUCUGGAUCGUCCACUGUGAGACAGAAUUCUGCAUCACCAAAUGGGAAGAGAUUGUGUUCGACAUGGUGGUGGGGAUCAUCUACAUCUUCAGCUGGUUCAACGUCAAGGAAGGCAGGACACGCUGCAGGCUCUUCGUUUACUAUUUUGUGAUCCUGUUGGAAAAUACAGCCUUGAGUGCCCUCUGGUACCUCUACAAGGCUCCCCAGAUUGCAGAUGCGUUUGCCAUCCCAGCGCUGUGUGUGGUGUUCAGCAGCUUUUUAACUGGUGUCGUUUUUAUGCUGAUGUAUUAUGCCUUCUUUCACCCCAACGGACCCCGAUUUGGGCAGUCACCAAGUUGUGCUUGUGAGGACCCAGUCGCUGCCUUCACUCUGCCUCCAGAAAUGGCCACAAGCACGCUCCGGUCCAUCUCCAACAACCGCAGUGUCGCCAGCGACCGCGACCAGAAAUUCGCUGAGCGCGAUGGGUGCGUACCUGUCUUUCAGGUGAGGCCCACUGCCCCGUCCACCCCAUCCUCUCGCCCACCACGGAUUGAAGAAUCUGUCAUUAAAAUUGAUCUGUUCAGGAAUAGGUACCCAGCGUGGGAGAGACAUGUUUUGGACCGAAGCCUGCGAAAGGCCAUUUUAGCCUUUGAAUGUUCCCCGUCUCCUCCAAGGCUGCAGUACAAAGAUGAUGCCCUUAUUCAGGAGCGGUUAGAGUAUGAAACCACUUUAUAAAAUAGAAGGCCUCGGAGGAGCCACAACCUCCAGGUGAAGGGGUGACAACAGGGCCGUGGCAAUAAUGAAACUCUGUCCUAGAGCAGGGCAACGGGCUGUAACGCGCUUCGUCUGACCCUCCAUCAGCUGACUGCCUGCUGCUGGUCUCCUUUCAGAACAGCGGCUGAAGGGAACGAACCGAACCAUGCCAGCUCAGGAGGACUCCUUGUUGCUACCAGCCCCUCCUGCCCACUUUCAGCAUGUCCACCAGAGGGUCCUAUGAGCACGGAAAAGGUUGCCUCCAAUCAAUAGGGCGUUUUGAUGGAGUUAACUGAUCUUUGCAUAAAAAUAUAUUCAGUCAUGUGCGCGCGCAUGCGCGCGUGCACACACACAGCACCAGUCCUCUGUCAAAAUAGCUUAGGUGAUUUUUUUUCUCAAUGCAAAGCUCUGAUUCUGAAUAUAAAAACAAAGAGAGAGAGAAUAUAUCCCUCAAGACUCUAGAAAAAAAAAAUAGUACUGACUUAGGAAAGCAUUUCAUAGACCAUUCUCCUUUGGAAACCACUACCAUGCGUGCAAAUCCUAUCCCAUGGACAGCAAACUCAACUGUUGUUUACAUGUGUAUUUGAAUGGAUGGAAUGGUUCAUUUUCAACACAUUUCAGGUUUUUUUUAUUUUAAAUUUUCAGUUGAGAACAUCCUUUCCGACAGAAAUCCUAUGCAGCACAUGUAUGGCUUUCGACAACACCAAGGAGCUCGACGAUUUCGUGACGUAAAUUAAAUGAUAAUCAUGAUUCAGUAUUCAGUUGCAAAAAUUUAAUAAGUACAUGAAGAGGAAGUGGGGAAACAAGGCAAAAACGAGCAUCUGAUUUCCCGGCCUGCCGCAGCUCACACAGGUAGGGAGGUACAGAGCAGCAGGAGAGGAACGUGCUGAACUGGAUGUUUCAAGAUGCAGAAGAGUGUGGCUCUGUGUGAGGACUCCAGAGCACACCACACCACACUUUCGUAGUGCCAAACACCGUCCAACCACAGGACUGACGUGGAAGUCCCAAACACCCGAGAACCAGUGGUGUGAGCCCCCCAAAUGUGGACGUGAGAGUGCACCAUCAAGCUCCCCACUGUGUACAGACUCCCCCCCUCCCCCCAAUCCAAGCUCAAAGUGAUGUGUCUUUUAGAGGCUUUGGGACACUUUUUAUUCUUCCUGAGAUUUCAUUUUCAAUCUGCCAUGAAACCCUCCACAGACAGUAACCGGAGAAUCCAAAAAGAACACGCUAUGGUUAGCAUGCAGAUUGGAAAUGCUGGAUUCUUCUUCUGUGAGACCCAACUUCCUGUGUCUGAGUCUACUUGAAUUCUCUGCGGGGAGAGGGGUCCUGCUCUUAGCACUCACUUUUUUCCAUAGGACCAUAAAGUUUUCUAAGAGAAAAUGUUAAGCAUUUUUUUCACUCUCAAAUUAGCAUUUUAAAAUGAAACUGUAUUUAAGAUUAAAGAACAUACAUAUCUUAACCAUACUGAGAUUUUUAAGUAUUUGUGUGGAGGGAAAAAAAAUUUUUUCCACGUUAAGUCAAAGUUUGGUUCCCCCAUAAUGACUAUGUCCUUUAAAUUCUCUUGGCCGUUAACAUUGACCUACUUAACUAUGUGCUGUCUCGUUCAUAACACUGACUUUGCAGACACUCAGUUACUAUCCACUCAUGAUAAUGCUGUGAACCCAACAAAGGAAAUAAAUUCUCUUACUUACUUGGCAAGAACAUGCAAUUCGAGUAUUACCACAAUACAAAAUACAAAGAUAACCCGAAGAUAAAAGUAUAAUGACAUAUGUAUGCUUAAUUCCCAAAUGCCCAAUUUAUUUUGCUCUAGGAGUAAAUGAAGCGAUAGCACUGACCAAUGAAAAGUGAAUGGGGAUCACUGAAAUCUCAAUGACUGUUUUUUAAGGUAUCAUAACAUGUAUAUAUGUUAUAUAUGUAUAUAUAUAACACACAUGUAUGUUUUACAUACACACACACACACACACACACACACAACUAAAGGAACAGAGAUGGAAAAGAUGAAGUAUAUACUGCCCUUUCAUGCAUAUCACCUGGUGUGUUACCGACACAUGAACUUUUAGUGGAAAAGCGUUUUCCUCUUCUUUUUCAGCCCAAGCUUACAGUCCCUGUCUAUAAGACAUCCACAUACUUGUAAUGUGGGAAAUACCUAGAUGCAACUUAGCGCUUUGAGCUUAAAUAAGUUGUAUCACUCAGAAAAGGUUUCAUCUUUUAAGCAGCUGAAUAGUGUUUUGAAUCAUUUCAAAGUUUCUUUCUCCCAUCUGGUUGAAUUGAGAAAAGAAAAACUCUCAUGUCCUUACCAGGAUUGUGUAAGGCUACACAUUUGCCUUUAAAUGUACCAAAUGCCAUUGAGUGGAACAAGUUCUCCCACAAUGUUUAGACAAGGAUCCAUUUUUUUUCUAAUGAACCAUUUUCUAAACUAAAUAUAUGCUCCCCUGCUUUCACAUACAUCUUUGCCAUUAGCCAUUACUGUUUCUAUAUAAAGCUUGGAUGAGAUGCCUGCAUUUUUAUGUUUCUAAGGAGAAUUCCUUAAAGUCUUUUUAAAAAUAGCUCAGACUGUCUUUCAGAAAUAUAGCUCAGAGGAUGCUUGAAGUGCAUGGUGAAAACACAGCCGAUCUGAGGUGGUUGUUUCUAUAAAUUCAGUGAUGGAUGCAGAUCAACUCAUGUUCAUUUAUCUUCAACAGUCCAGUGUCACUUUUGAAAACAAUCAAAAUGAUUGCUUCUGCCAGCUUGUGACUCAUAACACCCUUCUUCCCCUUCUGAAGCCGGGGCAUUUCAACAUGGCUGAGGAAGGGCCAUUUCCCUCUACCGCCCACUCACCCCCCACACCCUACCUCCGUUUUCAAGUCUCUGGCCCUAACCUGUGUCAGGCUGUGAAGUGAUCUCAGCAGUUGGGUUGCAGCUCCCCUGCUCACUCAGGCAGGCUGCACUGUCCACUGCAGUAUGCGGUCCAGUUGCUAUCCUAGAAAUGGGCACACAGAAAGACUCAAUCUGUGCCUGUGAUCAAUAGUCUCAACAGUAGGAUUACUCAUUCAAGAGUAAAACUGCGGAAUGUGGGUGGAAUUGUAUAAAAACACCAUGAGCCAUUUAAUUUUGUUAAUUGUAGCAAUUAGGCUAGCUCGAACACAGCCUGCGCUCACAGCAGAAAGCCAAGUGGAAGAAAUGGCAAACAGCCAUUUGCCCACAGAAAUAAGGGGUUCAGAAACUUUCCCUUGAGUGUUUAAGGCAUCAUGGUGUUUGAUCAUCCAUCUGAAGCUCUUUCUCUAGAUUCCAUAAGAAAAGAAAUCAGACUCUUGUUGUACUGCAUGCAGUGAUCUAAUCCCGAAACGUAAAACUCGAGUCAACCUUUUGUGGGGCUAUGCUCUGCUCAAUAAGGGAUGGUUUCAUGUCCCUGAAAUGCCUAAGUUGUUUUGCUAAAAUAUUUUACUCAUAAAUAGUAUGCUGACAUAAUAUGUCAGAAAUACUGGCAAACUCAAAUUUUUGCUUUGGUUAUUUUUUUACCCUUAGAUUUUCUUGCAGUUCAGUUCCCCAUAUUGAUGGUGACUUACCAUGACUAGGAAUGUAUCAUGUGCCCAGUGCUGGGCUACAGAGCUUUACCUGUGUGAUCUCACUGAAUCCUCACAACCAUCUAUGAGUUAAGUACCAUUUACAGAUGACAAAACCUAAUCUCAGAGAUACCAAACAAAUUGCCAGAGGUUCCACACCUAGGAAACAGUGGCACUGAGAAUUGAACACAACUUGUAACAACUUUUAACAACUGCAAACUUUUCUAGAAGACCAAGGAAUAUUUUCCCACCGACAUCUAUUUCUGAUUUGGCAAGCUUUCAGGAGAAACAAAAUCCUGGUCUGAUAAUGAAAUUUUCCAAAGCAAGUUUCAUUUAAAGUCAAAGAUGUCUUCCAAGAUGAAAAGUUAAAAAUAAAAGUCAAUAAUGAGAAAUGGAAAUUGCUAUCACCUGUAACUGAAUUUUAUUUCCAUUCCCUAAUUCAUAGUCAGUAGAUAUCUGCUAUUCUUCCAUUCUGGACAACUGGCCUCCUCCAUGGCCCUACUCUACACUAAAGUAGGAGAUAAAUAUAAAUUAACUAGAUGGUUCUCCUCUUGUAUUCUGUGCAUGUGCUAUACUGUCAUCCAGCUAGGCACACUGAAAAAUAACUAAAUUCCAGUACUUACUUUGACACUCUGAUGGAGAAAGAGACAGAGAAAGAGAGAAAGAAAGGAAGGGAGACAGGAGGGUGAAAAGAUAGAUCAACAAACAUUUAAAGUGACAUUAUUCUAUCCCAUUGCCAUGAUUUUUCUCUAAAUUUUAUGUCUUGCAGUUCACAAAAUUUAAUAUUCAAGAGGAUUACUAUACCAUUAGCUUGACCCAUCAUAUAAACUGAGGAAUCUUACCUUAAAUUGAAAGGUUAGAUGUAAAGAAUAAAGCAAACAUUUACAAACUAUUUGUUGAAUUGAUUAUAAAAUGAUUGAUCUGUCCUUUCCCUCCUCACUUUUGGUGUGACAAGUCUGAGUUCUACAGGAUUAUAGUCAAAACCUGUUCAAUGACAUUGUAUAGUAAGUUGUGUGUGAUGUUGCUGGAAUUGAUUCUAAACAAAUAGCCAGGAAUAAACCCCACAUUUUCUCAACCUUAGUAUUUAUUUUAGAAAAAUAUGCAGUGACCACUCUGACUUUAGUGUAUGAAAAAUACAAGCAAUCUUCUCUCUUACUGCUUUGAUAAGAUUCAAGCAGAUCUUGAUGAAGAUAUGUUAAAUUAGAAGUCACUAAUUUUUAUAGAAAGUAGCAUCUGAAAGAGAUCUAAGUGUUACUUCAGCACAUUCCUUUUAUAGAUGAGACAACCAAGAUCCAAAGAGAUCAGGUAAUUUUUGCAAUCAGGAUUCCUUCAGUCAUCUGUUCAGUCAGCAUCAUCCACAGGAUGAGCAUUGCCAGGCAAUACACAGCGAGUGUAGAAGGAGUCUUGCGAUCCAGUCGCUUACACUUUGGUUAUCAGUAGUAGAAUAGGUGUCUUUGGACUUCAACUCUUUUUUGCUCUGCUACACAGCUCCUAUCUUUAAUAUCUACAUUUAAUUCCAUACUAGAGCAAAACCAUAGCUUUCCCAAUAUUGUAUUAUGGAAGCCUCAUAACAGACAAAUGCCACACUCAAUGACAAGCAUAAGAUAGUGAUGUCCAUAUAAAGAUAAGUCAAUAAUGGUUGACUGUCUAUAAAGAGAAAAGUAAUUUUUGAUUUGUUUUUAUGCCUCUUCAACACUAGACAUUUUUAAAUCGAGGUUCCAAAGCAACAAAGAGAAAUUGAAAUACUUUUUAGGCACAUAACACUUGACUCAAAACAAUCAUAUCUGAAUAACUUUUGGAGAUAAUCCUGAGAACCCCUUUUAAGAAGAGGCAUGAAACGAGGAUGCCUCUAAAAUGUCUGAAGACUUUUCUAAUAGGCUACUUCUCUGAUCUUCAGGAAAUAUCCUUCAUUAGCACAUCCCCUAGAUCUCCAGCAUAGUAGUUAUUUAGGAAUAACACAUUUCCAGACCUAACCCUCGGUUACUACAACCUGAGAGGUUGGUCUAAAGCCAUACUUCCCGUGCCCAGAAGAGCAACACUGUGCUGUAUUACAUUCGGGAAUCCAGACAGCCAGGCUCAUCUCACUCACUAUGCUGGCAUAAUACACAAACUGAGUCUCUCCCUGCAAUAUGGGCACGUGGUUGGCUCCCCACAGAUAUAAGGAGUAUAUUACUUAAAGGUAACUAUUAACUUGCAUAACUAAUUUGCUCCAAGUGAAAUAAUUCUGAUCAGGGAAUGCAUAAACCCAAAGGUUCUCUAAGGAGUAAAAGGAAAGAGAAAAAAAAAACAGAUUAAUUUGUAUAAGCACAUAAUAAUUCAAAGAAUUCCUUGGUGAGUCCCAUUAAGCAUCAAUAUAAUAGUUGACCUAAUAACGGUGGGAAGUGUGAGGCAUGGUUUCUAGGUUCAAGCCCCUAUAAGUAGUUCAUUACUGUGAUUACUGCUGUUUUAGCUGUUGCACCAGCCAAGAAGAGUAUAGUUGCUGAUUUGAUGUUUGCAGAGCAAAGAUCAUGAUAAUAAAACAGAUCAACAUCAAAACUAAUUAAUCAACUUGAUAAGCAAAUAUUACCAGCCCAGACCAACACAAAAUGUUCUCUUGUGUUCUUAUUAAAGCCUGUCACCUAACUCUGUUAUUAGAAUUUCAGAAAAUGUAAGGUUUCAUGUUUUUAUUAUACUUCCAUCUAUCAAAUUAAGCUGGUGGCCCUCUCCUCUCUCUAUUGCUUGAUUUGCAUUAAAAUGGAACUAAUCAAAUUCUUAUUUCAUUUAAGUGCUACAAAUAUUAACAAAUGGAGAUGUUGUGUUUGAGCUAAUUUAAUUUAACUGUUCUAGUGGCAUUCUGGUAUGGAGUUGUAUCACAUCAACACUCUUAAUUAUUUCGAAUUAAUUCAUUUAUCAGUAAGUUCUACAACACCCCUAAGCACGUUGAAAAUAUAGUUUAGGUUUCUAUCCUUGUACGAAAUUCCUAUUUUGAUUACAGACCAGUAGAAUAUGUUUUAAUCAACAUCAGCAUUUCAAUCCAUUGUGAUUCUGGAAAAUGAGUAUGUCAGGUACUGCUGUGUUAACUUAGCAAUUAACCUUCGGCCAGGUCUUUCUAUAGGCCCCACUGUGAGUUCUUAUUCAUUCAAAUUGGGAGCAAUAGCACAUCAUCCUGUAACCAAAGGAGAUCUAGUCAAAGAAUUGUCAUUUUAUAUCCUUCUUUCAAAGAACUAAAUAUUCAACUUUCCUUACUAACCUUUCUAAUGUAUUGCACAUAGAAAAGGAAAUGGAUCACUGAAAUAUGUUCUGAAACCCUGGGGUGAAACCUUUCUCUUGAUCUGAAUCUGAGGCUUGGUGCCCUGUGAAGAGGAAUAAAUCUCUCAUGCCAUGAGGAAAGGGAAAGGGAACGAGCCAAUCACUCAGAAAUGUGGGCCUCGACUGCCACAAAGAUGUAUAUUGCUGAUGGUAUUGAUUCCCUUCUUUUUUUACAGAAACAUCUUGGAACUUGUCAAGCUUUACUGAAGGUGAUUUGCAUUAAUUAAUGCAACAGACCCUUUAAUCUUGCAAAUUCUUGACUUGUAAUAUUGUAGCCAAGCUACUGCAAGGGAAAAUUAAUCAGUUAGUGGGAAGGAGUACUUGUUCCAUCAUUGCCGAGCUGUGCCCAGGCCUGAAGAGAAAGACCUCUGUGAAGUAGAGCACUAAUGAAUUCAUGCUACCUGCUUCCUCAUCAUUCAUGCUAUGAAUACUCAUCCACUUCAUUUGUUUUUGCCAGUAAGCGCUGCUUUGAAAAAAAAAAAAGAAAAGAAAAAUGUCGAUGGAUUCUUGGGGCUUGCAUAGCUCAGAGAAUAGGUACCGGGUCAUGGUGACUCCUGUUAAAUGGAUACAAAUCUACUUGUGUUUGGAAAUGAAAAAAAAAAAUGUCAUUGUCAUCUCUUUAAUGAUCGAUCUGUCUGAGUACCAUGGCUGCCCUCACUUGGUUUCUUGAGAGUACUGUUGUCAGCAUUGUAAUAACAAAUUUACGAAAAUUGAAUCUGUAAUUCCAUUUCAGAGGUAAAGUCUGCAUGGAUGUAACCAUUCAAUAAUUUCAUUCCUGCCUUCUUGGGUGGUGACAUUGUCAGUUUCAAACUGAGGUACAUGAGUUUAUGGUAUUGGCCUUCUGUUGUUUCUGAGAUCCAACAAAAUGUCAGUUACAAGCUAUGAGAUCAAGUAGAGAUUCUUAUUGCCUAAAUGCUCACUUAAAAGUAAACAAGUAGUCUCAUAAUUUAAAAAACUCAUGGUUCUUUCCCACUUGCUUCUGUUUUCCAAGAAAGGUUUGAGCUGCAAGAUAAGAAUGAAUAUACUUCAGAUUGUAGUCUCAGAGUUUGCAAGUGUCAGACAUCCAUAUGUUCUUAUAAAGUUUCUGUCUAAACUUUUAGUAGAACAAUGUCAGGAGUGAACCCUAGAUGAAUGAGUGAAAGUCAUCAGGUUUAUCCAAUAAGCAACCUAGCAGAAAAAUUUUAGAAAAGAAGCAGGGAUCCUUUUUCUUGGGUUUUAAAGAUGUUUCUCCUUGCUAAGUGACCAUCUUAGUGAUUUGAGAGUUACUGAAUGGUAGUCCCAGUUAGAGGCAUCAGUAUCGUGCUGCAUACCCUACUCUGUCAAAGUCAUUUUUCAGAACUAACACUUGGCACAAGCACUGAAAUUUAAUGGCCAAAACUGGCCUACUACCAUGUGACUUAUUUUCAAUUGCAAGGCAAUGAAAACUAAUAAGCUGAAGAAAAUUUUAAUUUCCUGAACUCCAAAGCCAAAAUGGACACAAAGAGACUCUGUAACAUACAAUGAGUUGGUUGACUGUGGGGACCCAGGAACAAUAAACAAUCCUCUUAAGCAAGGCUCAUGAGUGAGAGUGCUAUAAGCUAUGUUGGGACAGAAGGUGAUUGAAGAGGAUGCCUACCAAUUGCUCAUCAAGAAUAUUUGCCUUUUUAUAGAGCAGAGGUUCAAAGUAGCCCCUGUCAUUCCCUAACUAUGAGGAUAGAUACAUCCAUAUAUGAAGGGCCAAGGCAGAAGACAGAGAAGAUGUCAGGGGCUGCAUGUCUGAGACUAACUCUGUCUUUAAGGGAACAGCUCUCCUUGGUCAUUGGCCCCUAUGCUGCUAGCUAGCUCUCCAUGCCAAGAGCUUCUGAUGGAUUACAAGAUGAGAUAUUUAAAGGUAUUGUAAGUAUUCCUACUUGUAUAACAUGAACCACUGAAUUGCCCCUCAUUUUAACAGCAACAAGAUUCAGGGUUACUAUAGCCUUACUCCUCAUCCCAUUGUAAAUAUAUCAUGACAUCACGAGAGCCUCUGUGUUCAAAUUCACUAAACCAGGUUUACACGUCCUAGAUCUGUGUAUCAAUCCCCAAAUUGGAAAAACAAUUUUUUGAGAAUGAUCUUCAGAAUAAUGGAAAUGAAAAAAAAACAGUGGACAGUUGAGCAGUUUUUCACCACCCAUAAAACCACUAGAGUGCUGAUAGCCCUAAAGCUACAAUUUUUUUUUCUCAUGACUAAGUUUUUUUUCACUUAGGGGCUUUCAACAUUUGAAUUUUCCAGAUGAUUACUGAACCAUCUUCACUAAACUGAAGUAGACACUAUGGCAUUGUUAAAAAAUAAAGACUGUCCACAUGAAUGCAAAUAUCCCAAUGAAAAAUGAAAUAGGUCACUCAAGCAGUAAAUUUGGUCUUUGUGAUAUCAAACAUUUGAAUACUUGGGAAAAUCCAGGUGUUUGAAUGAUACAGUUUUUCAUCUGGUUAUCUGGUGUUGUCUAGAUAGACAGAAAAUGCUCAGGUGUUGUAGGUAAUGAGAUUUAACUUUUUCGUGCAGAAAUCUAUUGCUGGUGAUAUUCUGCUGCUAAAAAUCUCUUUGCUAUGCAAAGAGGAAUAAAUAAUGCAGAGCAAAUACUAUUUGAUUUUUAUUUACUUUUGGCAAACACAUGAAUGGAAGAGGCUUGGGAGAUUGUCCCGGGGUUAUUCAGAUGUGAUUGUGGCACAGACCUCCUUCAGAAAGACCGUUCUGGAGGCCUGCCACUCGGCUCCUUCCUGCCAAGGAAACUUUUAUUCAGCUCCUUUCCAUCCUUUCUAAUAAUCCUAUAAUUGUCCCCCUGCUCUUCGCAUAAUCUUCGUUGUUCCCCAAGUCUACUUGACAGAAUUGUUUAAGAGAAACCCAAGUUUAACCUUUUUAUUCUUCAAAUAGGAAGUUCUUUCAUUUUAAGGAUUAUGUCUUUUAAGCAGAAAAAUAAUGUAAACAACUCAAUGCAGUUAUUUUAUGGUGCAUGUUGUGGUGUCACAGAAGUAAAGGCUAUUUUUCCCAAAUUAAACAAAAUACACCUUUUUUGUUUGUUCGUUUUGUUUGUUGAUGUCAUUCUGUUGCCAAGGACUCACUGGUUAUACAUAUUGGAAUCUUAGUGUUUCCUUUGUAGUCACAGAAAAGAGAAAAAGAAAAAAUCUCAUCAAAGGGAAGUUCACUUUCCAGAAGGAAGUUUGAGAUAGUCACGCGACUCUUGUAUCUGUGAUUAUCUGUGGACAUUUUCUUCCCUGAUUGGGCUCUGGAUUAGUGAGUGUGUGUAUUUCCUCAAAUCGUGUGCUUGCCUCAUUUACUGUUCUGAAGCUGGACAGAAACACGGGCAAGCUAUUCGGACCGAUUUUCUUUUCCGUGAGCUUAUGUUGCAGAACUUGCUCUGAGACAUGAACUAUAGUUCCUUCACACAGAAGGUAGGCAGCUAUGUGAAGUCAUGAGAGGAUUUCCAGAGAAAAUCUAGAUAUUUGUUUUGUACAUUCCUUGGUAGUGUUUUGAUUGUGUUAAAUUCUACAUUUCAGUGCCAAUUUAGAACGAUUUCAUGGGGUAAACAGUCCCUGUCCUUGUUGGCUCCCUCCUCCCCUUAGUUGCAGAGGUUUCCCCGAAACCAAAACGCAUGUUCCACCUUGUUUAGCAAGGGCUUCCAGCCACCAGGUGUCAUUGCUCUGUGCUAAUUGUGUUUUCUCAAUGCUCCUUUGGAUGGUUUGCUAGUCCCACCCCUGGGGAAGCCUUCCGGGUCAAAAGAGCUGCUACUUCCUGUCACAAAUGUUCAUACCAAACUGAUUUGGCUCCGCUUUCAUUUUCCCUUGAGAUUUUUACUUCACUCAAUCCUUUUCCAAAUCUUUGUACCUUCAUGUUAUGACAGGAUAUUUAGUUCAAUGUUUCAGUCAGCUGGCAACAAAGAAGCAACAAUCAAUUGGUAACUGCAAAAAACAUUAAGCAUUUUGUUUCAGUUAUCUUUUAUCAUGUAAUAAUUGAAUGGAAUUUAUGGUUUAUGGAAAACGAAAAAUCCCCCUGUUGAAUAUAAUAACCAUUUUGAAUACACUGAAAUAUAUUCUCUGAAAGAGUAUCCUUUUACACUAUGACGUCUAUUCCUUUCUGGAGACAAGAACAUGGAGGGGCCCUGGUUCUGUGGUGGAAACACAGGGGCCUGGAAGCUGAGCCCCUUGAGUCCUUAUUCCUGGUUCGUCACUUCAGCCUCAGAAACUCAUCUUCGGCCUCUUUUGUCCCAUAUGUAAAAGAGAGAUAAUCUUUAUCUACCUACCUCAUAGUGGUGUUGUGAAGAUGAAUUAAGUUUAUAAAGUGCUUUGACGCUUGAUAACUAGCGUUAACACAAAGGAGGCCUGUGUGCAGCCCUGAAUAGGCUGCAGCAGGGGAGGUGGAGACAACCUAACAACACGACAGCAAUAAGUCACCAAGCAGAGAGUAUGAUUAUUUGUGGUCACUUCACAGAAGUGAAACUUUUUCUUCAAAGGUCUAUGUAGAACUUUUUUUUUAAUUGUCAGCUUUUUAAUGAGAAAAAUUAACUCCUUUCAUACAAACACUGAGAAGCUUCAUAUAGGAUGACAAUUUUCCUCUUAGCCAAACUGAAAUUUACUAAGUAUUUAUUAAAUACAUCCAGAAGACUGGGCUUCUUCUGAUACCUAAAGAGUUCCCAUGCCUGAUCCCAAACUGCAUUUUCCAGAAUGCCUGCACUGAUACCUGAGCUCAGAACUAAUGAUUGCUAAAGGGUGUUCUGGAAUCUGCUACCAGGAGGGAACAUUUUUAAUAGAUAUUACUGAGAUUAGAUUUUGUUGUUUACGGUGAGAUUCUUUUUCAUCCCUAAGAUGAUGCAUCUCUCCCUUUGCAACCCAAUAAAAGAAUGUAAAGCCUUAUUUCUUCCUGGAACUUCUGAGUUGGUUUAUUUUCAGAUUAUAAAUAAAUUUUAAAUUUUUCAGAGAAGUGUUUACACAAGGGCUUCUAUAUAGUGAUAUACAAGUAUACUAACAUGUGCAUAGAUCUGAGUGUACGUGCAUGUCCUGAGUAUAGGACAAAGGAGAUGGUGGGAAAACAACCAUAGGGAACAUCCCAUACAACUUCCCCCAAAAGUAAAUGCUUUUUCUUACUUAAAUAUUUAGUCCAGAUAAGAAUUAGUGCUCAAUAACAUGAUUGGGGGUUAUAAAUAUCAUUUCUGAGUCAUAGAGGCAAUAUUGAAAAGUAGGAAUAAAUACAACCAUGGAACUAUACUAACAAUUCAGGUAAUGUUUUAAAGAUGUGACUUCAUGGGAAAAAAUUAUGUACAUAAAUAUUGUCAUUGUUCCCUUAGUUAAUAAUUAUAUUCCUUUGCAAAAAAAAUGCAUGCUCUUAAAAAUAUGAAAUAAGGUUUCAGAAAGUUUAUCUUGUUAAGUGGGUUUAAAAUCAUGUUGUGCCUGGAGCUAACAUAAUGUACACAUUCAAUAUAAUCUCUUCUGGAUUCUAAAAUCUAGUUGCCAGUGGUAUAACUUAAAAUUUCAGAUUGGUGAAAUAUUUCUAAUGCAUGGUAUUAAACUUUCUGAAGCAUGAAUUUAACCUAGGCAAUUAUCUGAUCCAUUAAAAAAUGUUUAUGUUGCCACACCAGACUCAAGAUAAAUACCAUUUUUUAGACUCAGAAUAUGAGAAUAGUGAGUCAAAAUAAUUUGGAUUUCUCUGACCUUUUUUCCCAGUCCCAAGCAUCGAUAUAUUUCAAACCAAAAGUGCAGCAGAAUAUCCUUGUUUCUAAGGGAAAUAUCCGUGUUUCUCUUUUACUUUUGUGCAAGAAAACUGAAGUUAACUGCACUAGAUUCAGGGGUGUGCAAAUAAGAAAAGGUGUGGCAGCCUUUUAGGGGGGUUGGCCAGGGGCAGUGGGGAGAACUCAUCAUUGGGAGGCUUUACAACAAAGGUACAAAACAGAAUCUAAAAGUAGUAGAGCUGGACAAUUCUUUGAAAUGAUAGAAAUGAAAUUCUUCCCCAAAGAGAUGAAAAAAACAGGUGGAGACAUGUUAUUAGACAGAAGCUAUACAUCUAAUUACUGGGAAAAAGGAAAUUUGAACCUGCUAUACCUUACCCUUAAGUCUUUCCAGCCCACAUGAAACUCCAGAGUCUUCCCUGACAGUAGUAGACUUUUUUAGAAAGCUAAUUUUUAGGAAAGGUACAUGCGACUAUACUGCCAUGGAACAGUCAUUGUGUAAUCAUCAUGUAUGUGAUGCUUCAUAAAUGUAGUUGUCAACUUUUAUGGUUACUUCCAGUUAAUUCUAUCCCAUAAAUAUGUGGCAUAAAACACAUGGAAAGUUCUCUUUUGCUCCAGAGGAAUGCGUGACAACUUAUUUAUAUCCACUCUUAUCCCUGGCAUAUUAUUAUUACCAAAGUCUUUUCAUAUCUAGAUGGUAUGAGAUAGUUAAAAAAUGAAGUUUUCAGCAAAUUGUCUAUUGAAGAUCUCACCUGAAGCUUCUCUUUAGUGAAGAUGGCAGGAGGAGAGGGAACUUGGGUGAGAAGAUUUCCUCUAUUAAGUUGUCUCUGCUUUUCUUCUCAGUUACCAGACAGCUCAGUAGCCUGGAGAGCAAGAUGGUGUAAGACAUGCAAAUUAGGUUUUUCCCAUUCUCAGAGCAAGGAGGGCAACCAAUGAGCCAGAGGUUACCACACCUUUGAAACCAAAUCGUACAUUGACAUUAGGGCUAAGACAAAAAUACAAAACAAAACAAACAUUGUAAAACAUGAGCAACAUCAUCCUUCCUAUUGGUUCUUUAUUUGAUUUUACUGAAUUCUUUUUAUAGUUUAGAUCAGAAGUUUCUAGUAAUGAUAAGUAAUGUCAUUUUAUGUUAUAGCUUCAAUGCAGAAAUGGUGAAAACAUGAGUCACAAACAAAAUUACCAGGGAUACAGACUUUGUCUGUACUGACACCUUACCUAGCAAAUUGGAAACAAAUACUACUUAAUGUUCUGGUUUCAUUAAUAACAUCUAGAAAAAAAAAAGAACAGGAGCAUUUUGCUCAGCAUUAAACCAUUGCACAAUAUAAACCUGCUUCCAAAUGGCAAGGAUUUCUGCUACUGACAUUUGUUCUUCAUUCUGCAGUUAUUUUAAGUAAAUAAUUUUCACAUCUAACUACCUCAGCUACUGUUCUUUUAUUUAGAAACAUGAAAUCAUGCACUUUGUAACCAACAAGUUUUUCAUUUAAAAUUUCAAAAAGAUACUUGGUGCAAAGCAAUUUUCAAAAAUUUGUAUAUGACAUAAGAAACCCAACCUCAGGAGGUUGUUCUUAAUUUUGUUUAUUUGUUUCUAAGUUUGAUUGGGGUAAAACCUCGUUUCCACUUAACAUGAAGAGAAGCUGCUCUAUAUUGCUUAAUUUGCCUUAAACAUUUUGUGCUCCUCUCCCUGUUCGAUUUUUUUUGUUUGUUCUAAAUCUAUCUCUGAAAAGAUAAUGUAACAGGUGGCAGAUGAACAUCAAACAAGACAAUGAACCAAUCAUUUCUCAGUUCCCUGUUGUCAACUCUGCAUGACAUUCUGAUUGUGCGAAAUUGCCAUUCCUGUGCUUCUCUCUCCCAUGACCAUUCCAGAAAUAAGGUCUGAGAGACCCCAUAUGUGUGUUUAGGGAACGGUGUAGACAUUUCCCCCAGUACGAGCACAGUGCCUGGACCUGAAUGAUUACCUUGGCAGUUCUUGUGCUUUUACUUUGUAAACAUUGUACAAAUGUAUUUGGAAUUUUAUUUGAAAUGAAGAAUUAAACUAGUUAUUAAAUUUUUUUCCUUCCUGUAAAUAUAUAUUCAAACUCCAUGUAUCCAAACAUUCCUUUAGCGUUCGGAUUGUAAGAGUGUCUUUAUUGGCUGGAGGCCGCCGUCUCAGGCCAUGGUCCCAUGUGCUCUAGUUGAAAGCACAGUGUGUGGAGUAUUUGAUGUACUAUAAUACCAUAGUUAUUUUGGUCUGUUAAGUAAGUUGCAAUUUGUGAUGAAAUGAAGUGGAAAGUAGUGCUUCAUAAUGAGCAAAUUUCCUUGGUUACAUGAUUUUUUCUUGUAAAACUUUAAAAAAAAGAAAACUUGAAAUUUUAUAUAUUUGGAUUUUGUAGAUUUUUUUUUAUUUUAUUGCAACACAAGGUACCAAAAUCAUUAAAUAAAGUACA
This is an RNA transcript of Zalophus californianus (California sea lion), 16966 nucleotides long. It is a transcript of the gene named XK related 4, with no coding region annotated. The record is from RefSeq and is a predicted model, not a curated record. The transcript has 4 exons. Lineage: Eukaryota; Metazoa; Chordata; Mammalia; Carnivora; Otariidae.